CAGGUUGAUGGGUUCUCUAGCAGGGAGCAGCACACUUAAUGCUCGGUGCUUUAGAGGAUUUAAACAGAUCCCGCUGAUCUGUGUGGAUCUUCUUGCUCUCCUGCGCUGAGAACGUACUCUCUGGCUUUGCAGAAGAGUACACCUGGAUUAGGAAGAUGGUUGAUUCUGUGCCAGCAGUGGGAAGACAACACUGGUGAGAACACCGGCUUUGGCACGGACCGCCCAGACCACCCACCACCAGCCUGGACCGGCCUCUGCAAUACAAACAGAUCAGUAGAAAUGAGUCAGAGAUGAAUCCUGGCUGGCUUUGAACACUUUGGAACACGUAAGACGUGGGUGAGAUGUGGAUUCAGAUGUCAACCCGCAGGAGGUUUACCGUCCCACAUGUGCGUCCAGG
This is a non-coding RNA of Doryrhamphus excisus (bluestripe pipefish), 397 nucleotides long. Lineage: Eukaryota; Metazoa; Chordata; Actinopteri; Syngnathiformes; Syngnathidae. The record is from RefSeq and is a predicted model, not a curated record.